CCUACGGGGGGCUGCAGUGGGGAAUAUUGCACAAUGGGCGCAAGCCUGAUGCAGCCAUGCCGCGUGUGUGAAGAAGGCCUUCGGGUUGUAAAGCACUCUCAGCGGGGAGGAAGGCGGUGAGGUUAAUAACCUCAUCGAUUGACGUUACCCGCAGAAGAAGCACCGGCUAACUCCGUGCCAGCAGCCGCGGUAAUACGGAGGGUGCAAGCGUUAAUCGGAAUUACUGGGCGUAAAGCGCACGCAGGCGGUCUGUCAAGUCGGAUGUGAAAUCCCCGGGCUCAACCUGGGAACUGCAUUCGAAACUGGCAGGCUAGAGUCGUGUAGAGGGGGGUAGAAUUCCAGGUGUAGCGGUGAAAUGCGUAGAGAUCUGGAGGAAUACCGGUGGCGAAGGCGGCCCCCUGGACAAAGACUGACGCUCAGGUGCGAAAGCGUGGGGAGCAAACAGGAGUAGAUACCCCUGUAGUC
RNAcentral lists this ribosomal RNA (465 nucleotides) under uncultured Klebsiella sp. RNAcentral's name for it is "bacterial SSU rRNA". It matches the Rfam family "Bacterial small subunit ribosomal RNA", at positions 338 to 795 of the family's 1533-position model. Lineage: Bacteria; Pseudomonadati; Pseudomonadota; Gammaproteobacteria; Enterobacterales; Enterobacteriaceae. The record is from RNAcentral.